AACGGUCUAUACCUGCGGUACCUGCGGAGGGAUCAUUAUCGAGCUCGUGCCCUCCGGGCAGACCUCCCACCCUUUGUGAUUUCUACCACCGUUGCUUUGGCGGGCCGCCGGGCCGCGCCCCGCCGGCGCGCGCCCGCCAGAGGCCCCGUAGACCCCGGAUGUCAGCGUCGUCUGAGCGUCAUAUAAUCGUUAAAACUUUCAACAACGGAUCUCU
Molecule: unclassified non-coding RNA, 214 nt
Filed under: soil metagenome
Description: partial contains 5.8S ribosomal RNA, internal transcribed spacer 2, and large subunit ribosomal RNA
Source: RNAcentral